RNAcentral lists this ribosomal RNA (442 nucleotides) under uncultured bacterium. Its description in RNAcentral is "bacterial SSU rRNA". It matches the Rfam family "Bacterial small subunit ribosomal RNA", at positions 958 to 1402 of the family's 1533-position model. The record is from RNAcentral.
AACGCGAAGAACCUUACCUGGGCUCGAACGGCUGGUCAACGGCGGUGGAAACAUCGCUACCCCGCAAGGGGGUCCAGUCGAGGUGCUGCAUGGCUGUCGUCAGCUCGUGUCGUGAGAUGUUGGGUUAAGUCCCGCAACGAGCGCAACCCUUGUCCUGUGUUGCCAUCAUUCAGUUGGGAACUCGCAGGAGACCGCCAGCGAUAAGCUGGAGGAGGGUGGGGAUGACGUCAAGUCCUCAUGGCCUUUAUGUCCAGGGCUACACACGUGCUACAAUGGCCGGUACAAAGCGUCCCGAAGCUGCGAAGCGGAGGCAAUCGCAAAAAACCGGUCUCAGUUCGGAUUGCAGGCUGCAACUCGCCUGCAUGAAGCUGGAAUCGCUAGUAAUGGCAGAUCAGCACGCUGCCGUGAAUACGUUCCCGGGCCUUGUACACACCGGACACGC